GUUCACUUGGAUGUCUCGCCAUCCAUUAAAAGUGUCUCCCGUUGCAUACCCGUGUUCCAUUAUGAAUAUUUAUUCUUCGAUCUUCAAGGCUCCUCUGAGUUACUAAGUAAAGGAUUAACUAUGCCUAACACUUGGUAAGGAACUCGACUGGAGGCCUCGAAUUGCCUAGGAUUAAAAGCCUGGACGGACCUCAGACUUGAAU
Molecule: long non-coding RNA, 202 nt
Filed under: Olea europaea (common olive)
Lineage: Eukaryota; Viridiplantae; Streptophyta; Magnoliopsida; Lamiales; Oleaceae
Description: long non-coding RNA (OEUR_LNC000096)
Source: RNAcentral